GUAAGAACCAAAGCGUAUGGUAGCGGCGAGAUCUUACAAGUUAAUCUCAAUCAAUCCGAUUGCCAUUGUACGUGUCUACAUGUAGAAUUUGACUCCCCAGUAAUUUAUAUUUAUAUAAACAGUAGAAGAACCAUCAAAUUCACUCUGUUCUGAACGCGAUGAUGAGGAAAACAACCAGAAGUAGCAUCGAUUGUGCAGUUGUUGAUGUUUGGAAACGGGCAGUGGGUGAACUCUCUACCAGAAAUUUCGCCCACCGUCUCGGUGCCUCAGAGGAUCUUGUGCUCCGGCUUGAUGUCUUCCGGAAGCUGGAGAAGCACCGGGGCUGUGUGAAUACGGUUAGCUUCAACCCUGAUGGUGAUAUAGUCAUAUCAGGUUCUGAUGACCGAAGGAUCAUACUCUGGGACUGGGAAACUGGGAAAAUUGCACUUUCAUUCCAUUCAGGUCAUCAUAACAAUGUCUUUCAAGCAAAAAUCAUGCCAUACACUGAUGAUCGAAGCAUUGUUACCUGUGCUGCAGAUGGACAGGUGAGACAAGCACAGAUUCUAGAACAUGGGAAGGUGGAAACAAAGUUGCUAGCCAAACAUCAAGGGCGAGCUCACAAAUUGGCAAUUGAACCUGCAAGCCCCCAUAUUGUUUACACUUGUGGAGAAGAUGGAUUAGUUCAACAUCAGAGACCUAAAGCA
This 683-nucleotide unclassified non-coding RNA is filed under the name Hevea brasiliensis (rubber tree). The record is from RNAcentral. Lineage: Eukaryota; Viridiplantae; Streptophyta; Magnoliopsida; Malpighiales; Euphorbiaceae.